This 164-nucleotide ribosomal RNA is filed under the name Murraya koenigii. RNAcentral's name for it is "Bergera koenigii 5.8S ribosomal RNA". It matches the Rfam family "5.8S ribosomal RNA". From Rfam's summary of the family: 5.8S ribosomal RNA (5.8S rRNA) is a component of the large subunit of the eukaryotic ribosome. It is transcribed by RNA polymerase I as part of the 45S precursor that also contains 18S and 28S rRNA. Functionally, it is thought that 5.8S rRNA may be involved in ribosome translocation. The record is from RNAcentral. Lineage: Eukaryota; Viridiplantae; Streptophyta; Magnoliopsida; Sapindales; Rutaceae.
AAAACAACUCUUGGCAACGGAUAUCUCGGCUCUCGCAUCGAUGAAGAACGUAGCGAAAUGCGAUACUUGGUGUGAAUUGCAGAAUCCCGUGAACCAUCGAGUCUUUGAACGCAAGUUGCGCCCCAAGCCGUUAGGCCGAGGGCACGUCUGCCUGGGUGUCACGC